This 474-nucleotide ribosomal RNA is filed under the name uncultured bacterium. Its description in RNAcentral is "SSU rRNA". It matches the Rfam family "Bacterial small subunit ribosomal RNA", at positions 26 to 518 of the family's 1533-position model. The record is from RNAcentral.
AGGACGAACGCUGGCGGCGUGCUUAACACAUGCAAGUCGAGCGGAAAGGCCCUUCGGGGUACUCGAGCGGCGAACGGGUGAGUAACACGUGAGUAACCUGCCCCUAGCUCUGGGAUAGCUCCGGGAAACCGGGAUUAAUACCAGAUACGACCACUUUAGACAUCUGUCGUGGUGGAAAGGAUUCCGGCUAGGGAUGGGCUCGCGGCCUAUCAGCUUGUUGGUGGGGUAACGGCCUACCAAGGCGACGACGGUAGCCGGCCUGAGAGGGCGACCGGCCACACUGGGACUGAGACACGGCCCAGACUCCUACGGGAGGCAGCAGUGGGGAAUAUUGCGCAAUGGGCGAAAGCCUGACGCAGCGACGCCGCGUGGGGGAUGAAGGCCUUCGGGUUGUAAACCCCUUUCAGCAGGGACGAAGCGAAAGUGACGGUACCUGCAGAAGAAGCGCCGGCUAACGUACGCGCCAGCAGCCGC